AUUGAACGCUGGCGGCAGGCCUAACACAUGCAAGUCGAGCGGUAGAGAGAAGCUUGCUUCUCUUGAGAGCGGCGGACGGGUGAGUAAUGCCUAGGAAUCUGCCUGGUAGUGGGGGAUAACGUUCGGAAACGGACGCUAAUACCGCAUACGUCCUACGGGAGAAAGCAGGGGACCUUCGGGCCUUGCGCUAUCAGAUGAGCCUAGGUCGGAUUAGCUAGUUGGUGGGGUAAUGGCUCACCACGGCGACGAUCCGUAACUGGUCUGAGAGGAUGAUCGGAAACACUGGAACUGAGACACGGUCCAGACUCCUACGGCAGGCAGCAGUGGGGAAUAUUGGACAAUGGGCGAAAGCCUGAUCCAGCCAUGCCGCGUGUGUGAAGAAGGUCUUCGGAUUGUAAAGCACUUUAAGUUGGGAGGAAGGGCAGUAAAUUAAUACUUUGCUGUUUUGACGUUACCGACAGAAUAAGCACCGGCUAACUCUGUGCCAGCCGCCGCCGUAA
Molecule: ribosomal RNA, 500 nt
Filed under: uncultured bacterium
Lineage: Bacteria
Description: partial 16S ribosomal RNA
Rfam family: Bacterial small subunit ribosomal RNA
Source: RNAcentral